AUGCCAGUGCUCGUAGGCAGGAUGAGCAAAGCAAAGAUCGAUCUUUCACUGGACAGCAGCAUCUUCCAGGGUGACUGCCGCUCCAUCUGCAUUGUCCUCAUCGUCACCAUCUCCACCAUCACCGUCUUCUCCACCAUCACCACCAUCUCCAUCAUCUCCACCGUCUCCACAAAAACCACCAUCUCCAUCAUCACCACCAUCUCCACCAUAACCAUCUCCACCAUCACCACCAAAACCACCAUCUCCACCAUCUCCACCAUCACCGGCUUGUCCUCUGGCAGGAGUUCCCUCCCCUUUCUCCAACCGCACCGGGAAGCCAGCUCGUUCCAAGGGUCCUAUGAGAAGCCUCUCUUCUCUGUGAGGCCGAGUGGUCUUUCCCAACCACCCCAACUCAAACAGGUGUUUUUCUCCAUCCUGUGUGGCACCUGCUGUCCAAACACGCGUUUGAUCUCCGCCACAUUCUGCCCUUUCUUUCCGAUUAUCUGUUGCUGCUGCACUCUCCCCAGGCCCCCAGCGGCUCUCCCAGGCCCAGCUCACCAGCCCCCCUGCCCUGGGCUUCCCCUCUGGGUUUUUGUGAAUCACAGUCCACGCUCAUUCACCGGAGUAAACCCCCAGCAAGGUCAGCAAGUGUAUCUGACUUAGCUCCGCAUUUCCGUGGGCACCCCACUCAGCAUGGUGUGAUGAAUGCCAAGUUAGCCCGGGAAUGUCUGAGGGACUGUUCAGUGCAUCCGAGGUUAUAGGUUAGCUGCAUGCAAUGCCUUGACCCCCGUUAGUAGGAAGCACUGUGACCAAAACAGGCGCUGAAGGAGCAGGAAGCACUCAGCGGCGAUGUCUGUGUUGGCGGCACCAGGACUAGCACUCUGUUCGACGGGCACAGAGUCGUUGGGGAGAGGCAGGGCUUGGUCCACAUCUUGUCUGGCCGGGAGGACCCUCCGGAGCUGCCCCUGUGCACAGGGUGGAUCGGGCCUGGCCGUGUCUGGAGUCGGUGCCCUGGCUGGCGUCCAGCCGCCUCCAUGGCCAGGUGUUUUCACGAGCUCCCUGCAGGACCUCAGCUUCCGCCAGGUCUCACACCCCGGGGCCCUCGGCGGGGAGCCCAGCCUGGGUGUGUUUCCGUCUUCCCGCUUGCCCAGGUGUGUGUUCAGCCAUGGAGACGAGUGUCCAGGAACCCCUGGUGCCGGAACCGUUCUCGGGAGUGGGGAACCCUCUUUCCCACCUGACUCGCUGUGAAGACGGUCUGGGCCCUGGGCCUGGUCCCCCCGGCAGCUUGUGUGACGCUCUCAGAGCCGGGGGCUCAUCCCCCCAUGCUCACAGGCCUUCCACCGGACGUCUCAGGGACAGAAGGAAAUCAAAACGAGCCCCAGAUGCAGGGCUGUGUGCCUAGACAGGUCAUCCUAACGGUCCCGUCACGUGUCUUUUCUCCCGAAUAAAGCUGUUCUUUUGAUCGCA
This 1446-nucleotide long non-coding RNA is filed under the name Bos indicus x Bos taurus (hybrid cattle). Its description in RNAcentral is "lncRNA (ENSBIXG00000017659.1)". The record is from RNAcentral. Lineage: Eukaryota; Metazoa; Chordata; Mammalia; Artiodactyla; Bovidae.